Molecule: ribosomal RNA, 647 nt
Filed under: Entoloma alboumbonatum
Lineage: Eukaryota; Fungi; Basidiomycota; Agaricomycetes; Agaricales; Entolomataceae
Description: partial large subunit ribosomal RNA
Rfam family: Eukaryotic large subunit ribosomal RNA
Source: RNAcentral
GCAUAUCAAUAAGCGGAGGAAAAGAAACUAACAAGGAUUCCCCUAGUAACUGCGAGUGAAGCGGGAAAAGCUCAAAUUUAAAAUCUGGUAGUCUUUGGCUGCCCGAGUUGUAAUCUAGAGAAGCGUUAUCCGCGCUGGACCGUGURUAAGUCUCCUGGAAUGGAGCGUCAUAGAGGGUGAGAAUCCCGUCUUUAACACGGACUACCAGGGCUUUGUGAUACGCUCUCAAAGAGUCGAGUUGUUUGGGAAUGCAGCUCUAAAUGGGUGGUAAAUUCCAUCUAAAGCUAAAUAUUGGCGAGAGACCGAUAGCGAACAAGUACCGUGAGGGAAAGAUGAAAAGAACUUUGGAAAGAGAGUUAAACAGUACGUGAAAUUGUUGAAAGGGAAACGCUUGAAGUCAGUCGCGUUGGUCGGGAAUCAACCUUGCUUUUGCUUGGUGUACUUUCUGGUUAACGGGUCAGCAUCAAUUUUGACCAGUGGAAAAAGGUCAGGGGAAUGUGGCAUCUUCGGAUGUGUUAUAGCCUCUGGUCAUAUACAUUGGUUGGGAUUGAGGAACUCAGCACGCCGCAAGGCCGGGUUUUUAACCACGUUCGUGCUUAGGAUGCUGGCAUAAUGGCUUUAAUCGACCCGUCUUGAACCACGGACCA